UCCCUUGACUGCCAGGAUUGCUUACCUUAGCGACGCUGGCAAAAGACAGAACUCUCCGUUGCCGAGCAACCAUGCCGGUAGCUACAGGCAAGCAUUGUGCGGCAUCCGCAAGGUCACUGGAGUGGAGCGGAUCCCAGACCACCUACCAAGGCUGCUUCCCGCUCCGCCUGACCCACUUUCUGCCUCCACUGAGCUUCUGCUCGUGGCACCAGUUGUAGUUUCGCGGGCCGCGCAGCUCGAUAGCCUUUUACUGCUUGCAAGCCAAGCCCGUCGACCGAUCGGCGGCCUACUCCCGCCACAAUGACCUCCACCCUGGCUGAUUCCAGCCCCAGAGCCGCCGGCACCUAUACCUUCGCCAGCCGGCCCAGACCCCUGAACUGCCAGCGUCGCCGCUACCGGGACUUCUACGGGUCGUCAGAUGAAGAACCCAUUCGUUAUGGAAACAUUAUGUAUGACAGAAGAGUUAUACGAGGCAACACUUAUGCUCUACAUACAUAUCCACCGACUUCUCAACCUGAUCCUGUUGAGCUCCAAAGACAGCAAGAGGCCAAGAGGAAAGCUCUUGCCAGGAAGCGAGCUAGAGAACAUCUUCGACCAAGAAGUCCUGAACCUGUAGAGGGCAGGAAGCAUGUUGAUGUUCAGACAGAGUUAUAUCUAGAAGAGCUUGCUGACCGCAUAAUAGAAGUUGAUAUGGAAUGUCAAACUGAUGCGUUUUUGGAUAGACCACCAUCACCACUCUUUAUCCCAGCUAAAACUGGCAAAGAUGUAGCCACUCAAAUAUUAGAAGGCGAGCUGUUUGAUUUUGACAUUGAAGUCAAACCAAUGUUAGAAGUUUUGGUGGGAAAGACCAUUGAACAGUCUUUGCUGGAAGUGAUGGAGGAAGAAGAAUUGGCUGAACUACAAAUGCAACAACAACAGUUUGAAGAAUUGCGGAAUCUGGAACUUGCAGAAGUACAGAGACUUGAAGAGCAAGAGAGGCGCCACCAGAAGGAAAAGGAACGUCGCAGACAGCAACAACUAGAAGUAGUACGUAAACAGAAUGAGACUUCACAGAAAAUUGCAGCUCGAGCAUAUGCUAAGAUGUACCUGGCUGACCUCCUUCCCUCUGUCUUCAGUAAUCUCAGGGAUAAGGGUUACUUCUAUGAUCCUGUAGAAAGAGAUAUUGAAGUUGGAUUCCUACCAUGGUUGAUGCAUGAAGUAGAUAAGACAAUAGAAUACAACAUGCUGGGGAGAGUAGUACUUGACAUGUUGAUUCGUGAAGUGGUUGAAACUAGGUUGAAUAUGUUUGAACAGCUUGGAGCUAAACAGUCAGAGGUUUUACCUGAUGAGAAUGACAAAGAUAGGGAAGAAUCAUUGACAGUAGGAGCUGAACCAUUCAUGGAGGGUUCACAACGGCCUUCACAAUGGAGUUCACAAUGGGGUUCACAAUGGGAUUCACAACGGGGUUCACAAAGAUAUGAUUCUAUGGAUUCGGCAUUUACCGAUCAAAGGGAAUCCUUUGAGAGAAGUGCAUCUUUUGACCCAUGAAACCAAGUGACAGCCAAACCAUCAAAUAAUCAGUCAACUCCUAAUUUCCUUUGCCUGGAACCUCGAACACCUUGGCAACACAGGGUCUAAUAGUGUGGAAACUCAAAACUUCAGGACUUUGUGAAACAAGGGAGUUGAAAAACAUUUAACAAUCUUCACUUCAACUAAAAUCACAUAUUUUUAUGCAUGUUUUGUAUUUAUCUAUGAGUAUAUGUAUUGCAUUGUGCUCCCAACCCCUAGCAGAAUUUAAACUUGUUGAGGAAAAGGACAGUCUCAUUUUUAUCUUCCCAUCUCCCCAAUACCUACUAUAUACCUAGCAUAUAGAGAGUCCUUAAUAAAGAUCUGUUGAAUUAAGUGAGUGGAAUUAACAGCUAGAAAUUUAGUGCUUAUGCGAUGAUUCAAAGCAAUUCCAAUAGAUUGAGAUGAAAAAUGCCCUCCAUAUCUAGAGAAAAAACUAUGGAGACUGAAUGUGGAGUGAAGCAUGGUGUUUUCAUCUUUUUGUUGUUGUUAUUGUUUGUUUGCUUGUUGUUUUUUGUUUUUGUUUCUCAUGAUUUUUCCCUUUUGAUCAGUUUUUUUUUUUUUUGCACAAUAUGACAAAUAUGUAAAUAUAUUUAAAAUCUAUAUCAGAUUGCUUGCUGUCUUGGAGAGGAAGGAGAUAAAGGAGGAAGGGAGAAAAAUAUAGAACACAAAGUAUUACAAAAAUGAAUGUUGAAAACUAUCUGUACAUGUAUAUGGAAAAAUAAAAUACUAUUAAAAAUGAAAAUUAGUGCUUGUUUAACUAAUGUGAUAUUUAGAUUAGUGAAAGGAGUAUGGUCUUAAAAUAUCAGUAAAUGUUUAGCACAGAUUUAGAGCUGAAAAGGACCUUAGAGGUCACCAAAUCCAAACUCCUCAAUUUUAAAGUUGAAGAAAUGAGACCAAAAAAACUAAAACUGAGACAGGUUACAAAUUUAGAUAGCUCUUUUUGACUCCAGGUUCAGUACUCUAUAUGUUACCAUAGUCUUUACUAAACAGCGUUCUUAGUGUACUGCAUCCAGUUUGGGUCUUUUUUUUUUUUUAUUUUUAAGAAUGGGGCCUUUGUUUCUCUCUUUUCUUUCUUUUUAAAUAAAUUUGUUUCUAUUUUCUGUUUAUGUCUUUUUUUCUUAGAUCACUUACAUUCACCAAUGUGUUCUUCCCCUUUUUCUAUGUGUGUGUAUAUAUAUACAUAUAUAUAUAUACACAUUCAUAUGUUCAGAAAUGAAUGUUAUACAAAAACAAAAAAGUACCAAUAAAAAUUUUUCAUUUUUAAAUUUUUCAGAGAAAUGUCAGAAGUAUUACAAAAGCAGCAAUAGCAAAGAUAUGGGAACAUAUGCCCUAGGAGGAAAAGUUAAAGGAACUAAGAUUAUUUACCUUGGACAAAAGAAGGCUAACUUGAGACCUAAUAAAAAUAAGGGAUUUCCUAAUUUGAGAAUUGGGGGACAAUAGAAAAGGCAACUGUGUUCAGUUCUAAGUGCAGAGUGGGUGGAGCUGAAAGAAAGCCAAAAGGAGAUGGAGAAGCCUGCCCUUUCUCCCCCAUUUCAUCUGUUCCUAGCCUCCAUCAACUUUCACCUGCCCCUCAGUAGUGAAUGGUGCUAUCCUGAUCCUCUACCCCAUCUCUCUGAAGUUGUUUGAUUGGAAGGAGAAUUGUUUUAUUUAUAUUAAAAAUUUUUUUUCUUUCCCUUACUACAUUUGUGACUAUCAUUUUUUCUGAUCUCAGUUUUCUUAUCUGUGAAAUAAAGGAGUCGAACUAGA
RNA transcript from Antechinus flavipes (yellow-footed antechinus), 3294 nucleotides. It is a transcript of the gene named radial spoke head 3, with no coding region annotated. The transcript has 10 exons. The record is from RefSeq and is a predicted model, not a curated record. Lineage: Eukaryota; Metazoa; Chordata; Mammalia; Dasyuromorphia; Dasyuridae.